This 670-nucleotide ribosomal RNA is filed under the name Ruegeria sp. SoSrf4. Its description in RNAcentral is "bacterial SSU rRNA". It matches the Rfam family "Bacterial small subunit ribosomal RNA", at positions 35 to 754 of the family's 1533-position model. RNAcentral also lists the same sequence under 1 other name. The record is from RNAcentral. Lineage: Bacteria; Pseudomonadati; Pseudomonadota; Alphaproteobacteria; Rhodobacterales; Roseobacteraceae.
GCUGGCGGCAGGCUUACACAUGCAAGUCGAGCGCACCUUCGGGUGAGCGGCGGACGGGUUAGUAACGCGUGGGAACAUACCCUUUGGUACGGAAUAGCCUCUGGAAACGGAGAGUAAUACCGUAUGAGCCCUUCGGGGGAAAGAUUUAUCGCCAAAGGAUUGGCCCGCGUUAGAUUAGGUAGUUGGUGGGGUAAUGGCCUACCAAGCCUACGAUCUAUAGCUGGUUUUAGAGGAUGAUCAGCAACACUGGGACUGAGACACGGCCCAGACUCCUACGGGAGGCAGCAGUGGGGAAUCUUGGACAAUGGGGGCAACCCUGAUCCAGCCAUGCCGCGUGAGUGAUGAAGGCCUUAGGGUCGUAAAGCUCUUUCGCCUGUGAAGAUAAUGACGGUAGCAGGUAAAGAAACCCCGGCUAACUCCGUGCCAGCAGCCGCGGUAAUACGGAGGGGGUUAGCGUUGUUCGGAAUUACUGGGCGUAAAGCGCACGUAGGCGGACUGGAAAGUUGGGGGUGAAAUCCCAGGGCUCAACCCUGGAACUGCCUCCAAAACUAUCAGUCUAGAGUUCGAGAGAGGUGAGUGGAAUUCCGAGUGUAGAGGUGAAAUUCGUAGAUAUUCGGAGGAACACCAGUGGCGAAGGCGGCUCACUGGCUCGAUACUUGACCUGAGGUGC